GGUUCCAAGUACCUGAAAAACUUUCAUUUUUCUUUCUUUAAUUUCGGACUUAAAUUUAUUUUAGUUAAUUUUGGUUUGUGGAAUGAGAAUGUUUUGUUGGAAGAAAUUCAAGUUUUAUUUCAAUUUUUCGCGCGCAUGUGUUGGUCAAAUUUAAUACCAUACCUGCAGCGAACACAUGUGGAAGAAGCAAGAGAGAAGUUUUGAGUUUUGGGUUUUCGAUGUGCUGCAGAGAGAAAAUAUAAAAUUUCUACAACUACCAGUGAUUUCGACAUUGUUAAUGAUCAGGAUUGUGCCUUAAAAUAGCAGGAUAAUUGAGGUUUACAAACAAUCAGUGAAGUUAAUUUUGGUUUGUGGAAUGAGAAUGUUUUGUUGGAAGAAAUUCAAGUUUUAUUUCAAUUUUUCGCGCGCAUGUGUUGGUCAAAUUUAAUACCAUACCUGCAGCGAACACAUGUGGAAGAAGCAAGAGAGAAGUUUUGAGUUUUGGGUUUUCGAUGUGCUGCAGAGAGAAAAUAUAAAAUUUCUACAACUACCAGUGAUUUCGACAUUGUUAAUGAUCAGGAUUGUGCCUUAAAAUAGCAGGAUAAUUGAGGUUUACAAACAAUCAGUGAAG
Long non-coding RNA from Harmonia axyridis, 610 nucleotides. RefSeq lists it as uncharacterized. Lineage: Eukaryota; Metazoa; Arthropoda; Insecta; Coleoptera; Coccinellidae. The record is from RefSeq and is a predicted model, not a curated record. The transcript is spliced from 2 exons.